This 1091-nucleotide long non-coding RNA is filed under the name Homo sapiens (human). RNAcentral describes it as "non-protein coding lnc-SESN3-1:6". Lineage: Eukaryota; Metazoa; Chordata; Mammalia; Primates; Hominidae. The record is from RNAcentral.
CUCCCUGAAGAUGGCUGCAGAGGCCCAGGGCCGCGCUCCGCGAUGCUGACAACGUACCCUGGGCUGCGCCCGGGACUGGAGACGCGGGUCACCUGCCUCCGCGCCGCCUGGUCUCAGCAGUCCGGGGGACGCGCGCUACCAAGAGUGGAGAAUCCGAGUGGGGCGGGCCUAGUCCCGGGGCUGGGAAGAGAUAGUCGCAUGGACUGGGCGCCAAGAAGCCUGCUGAUCGCGCGCGCCCCACGGCCGCCCUGGUGAUGCAGAGGGGUGGCGUGAGAUGCUCGUGGAGCUGCGGCUGGUUCGGAGUGGAUGGGCAGAGUUCCCCUCUGAAAUUUCAUGAAGAUGCGUCUCCCACUCUCCACCGAAGUACUCAACGACCAGCACACGCAUACAAUUUUGAUGGAGUUUUUUGUUUUUUGUUAUGUUUUUUUAGCUCACCAGAAACUCAGAGAGUAAAGAAAUACUGUUAAAGGAAGUUCCUAAACUAGGCAGACAGUAUAACCCUGUGUGGUUUUCUUGGUGCAAGUGUUAGAAACAAAACCGAUACCAAGCAAGGAAGGAGGCCAGCCAACGUCAUUGGUCAACAGGUUGGCCAAUUCUUUCCUUCAUUUAUCCCUCUGAAUGCCUAGGUGCCAGCCUGAGAUAGGCACUGGAUUACCACAGGGGUAAACAAGAGCAGGGCUCCUGCGGUCACAAAGACAGCCUAGUGGGAAAGUUUGUCAUUAACCGAGGAAACAUGCUAUUAAAGGGAUAACUAAAAACUGAACACAGAUCUGUGAGACCCUGACAGCUACAGGGGUUCAGGAUGUAAUCCGGGAAGGUUUGCCUGAAGAAGUGGCAUCUGAGCUGAGACCUGGAGGAUGACAUUAACUAGGCAAGGAGGAAAACCAUGUGCUAAGUGGUCUCCCACAGAAGGGAACAUGAUGUAUUGGAGGAAUUUAAGGAAGGCUAGUGUGGGUAAAGCGCGGAGAACCGCGUGGGGGAUGAUGGGAAGUGGGGCUAAAGGAGGAGGCAGGGGUCAUAUUACUCAGGUUAUUAUAGGCCAGAGGCCUUCAAACACUUUUUGAGAAGGCCCAUAAUGAGAAAAGUUUGAU